CAGAGAGCAAAAUCUCAGUCCUACAGGCAGCCAGCCCAGACAGCUGAUGGUCACAAAUCAGACUUACAGCUGAAAAAAUGGUACAGAACUCCUCAACACAGACCAUGACAGCUGCUGGAGUUUUUUUUAUCCUCGGUUUCUUUGGUGUGCUUGUCUCCACCUCUGCAACUGCUGUGUGGCUGCCUGGCUGGGCAGCUUGGAAACCCUUUCUGCUACACCUCCACCCCACCUAUGGCUAUGAACAUCUGACACUGUGUAUCACCGCACAACAACCACUGUCAGCGCCCUGCCUGCAGUUCCCCUGGGCUUCAUCUGCCUUACGCCCAGCAAGAGCUCCUGAUCCACUGCUAGUCCCACAGGCAGUGGGAUCAUUACAAUAUCAGUAUACCCAGUUAACUGUGCCAACACCUAAAACCUCAGACAUAUUUCCCUUGUUUAACCCAGACCCUUUUUUCAUGUUUUUGUAGUUUAUUAAUUUUGCAUACUGUAUAUAUAUAUAAGAGCAUCUGCCAAACUGGGAUUUAUAAUCCAAUUGUCUAUGCUUGAUGGCAG
This is a non-coding RNA of Lepisosteus oculatus (spotted gar), 552 nucleotides long. The record is from RefSeq and is a predicted model, not a curated record. Lineage: Eukaryota; Metazoa; Chordata; Actinopteri; Semionotiformes; Lepisosteidae.